CACUUAGAGGAAGGAGAAGUCGUAACAAGGUUUCUGUAGGUGAACCUGCGGAAGGAUCA
Molecule: ribosomal RNA, 59 nt
Filed under: uncultured Durusdinium
Lineage: Eukaryota; Dinophyceae; Suessiales
Also listed under: 1 other name
Description: partial 18S ribosomal RNA
Rfam family: Eukaryotic small subunit ribosomal RNA
Source: RNAcentral